Molecule: ribosomal RNA, 468 nt
Filed under: uncultured bacterium
Lineage: Bacteria
Description: partial 16S ribosomal RNA
Rfam family: Bacterial small subunit ribosomal RNA
Source: RNAcentral
GACGAACGCUGGCGGCGUGCUUAACACAUGCAAGUCGAACGGAAAGGCCCUGCUUUUGUUGGGUGCUCGAGUGGCGAACGGGUGUGUAACACGUGAGUAACCUGCCCUUGACUUUGUGAUAACUUCAGGAAACUGGGGCUAAUACCGGAUAGGAGCUCCUGCUGCAUGGUGGUGGUUGGAAAUUUUCGGCGGUUGGGGAUGGACUCGCGGCUUAUCAGCUUGUUGGUGGGGUAGUGGCUUACCAAGGCUUUGACGGGUAGCCUGCCUGAGAGGGUGACCGGCGACAUUGGGACUGAGAUACGGAGCAGACGCCAAUGGGAGGCAGCAGUGGGGAAUAUUGCACAAUGGGCGGAAGCCUGAUGCAGAAACGCCGCGGGCGGGAUGAAGGCCUUCGGGGUGUAAACCGCUGUCGCCUGUGACGAAGCGUGAGUGACGGUAAUGGGUAAAGAAGCACCGGCUAACUACGUG